GAUGAACGCUAGCGGCAGGCUUAACACAUGCAAGUCGAGGGGUAACAGGGUGCUUGCACCGCUGACGACCGGCGCACGGGUGCGUAACGCGUAUACAAUCUGCCUCUUACUGCGGGAUAGCCCAGAGAAAUUUGGAUUAAUAUCGCAUAGUAUAUUGACUUGGCAUCAAGUUAAUAUUAAAGGUUACGGUAAGAGAUGAGUAUGCGUUCUAUUAGCUAGAUGGUGUGGUAACGGCACACCAUGGCAACGAUAGAUAGGGGCCCUGAGAGGGGGAUCCCCCACACUGGUACUGAGACACGGACCAGACUCCUACGGGAGGCAGCAGUGAGGAAUAUUGGACAAUGGAGGCAACUCUGAUCCAGCCAUGCCGCGUGCAGGAAGACGGCCCUAUGGGUUGUAAACUGCUUUUAUACAGGAAGAAACACUCCCUCGUGAGGGAGCUUGACGGUACUGUAAGAAUAAGGAU
RNAcentral lists this ribosomal RNA (466 nucleotides) under uncultured bacterium. RNAcentral describes it as "bacterial SSU rRNA". It matches the Rfam family "Bacterial small subunit ribosomal RNA", at positions 28 to 493 of the family's 1533-position model. The record is from RNAcentral.